Molecule: ribosomal RNA, 465 nt
Filed under: uncultured bacterium
Lineage: Bacteria
Description: partial 16S ribosomal RNA
Rfam family: Bacterial small subunit ribosomal RNA
Source: RNAcentral
GAUGAACGCUGGCGGCGUGCUUAACACAUGCAAGUCGAACGGAAAGUCCCAAUCUUGCUUGGGUACUCGAGUGGCGAACGGGUGAGUAACACGUGGGUGAUCUGCCCUUCACUUCGGGAUAAGCCUGGGAAACUGGGUCUAAUACCGGAUAGGACCUCAUUCUUUAUGGUGGGGUGGAGAGUUUUUCGGUGUGUGAUGAGCUCGCGGCCUAUCAGCUUGUUGGUGGGGUAAUGGCCUACCAAGGCGUCGACGGGUAGCCGGCCUGAGAGGGUGUACGGCCACAUUGGGACUGAAAUACGGCACAGACCACUAUGGGACGCAGCAGUGGGGAAUAUUGCACAAUGGGCGGAAGGCUGAUGUAGCGACGCCGCGUGGGGGAUGACGGCCAUCGGGUUGUAAACUACUUUCGCUAGGGACGAAGCGCAAGUGACGGUACCUGGAGAAGAAGCACCGGCUAACUACGUG